This 688-nucleotide long non-coding RNA is filed under the name Equus caballus (horse). RNAcentral describes it as "lncRNA (ENSECAG00000051115.1)". The record is from RNAcentral. Lineage: Eukaryota; Metazoa; Chordata; Mammalia; Perissodactyla; Equidae.
AAUACUGAGAGCCAGAUGGGUGACGGAAGAGCUAGGAGACCAACCGGGUAUGGAGCUGCAAGAAGGGGACUCUGUUCCACUCCUGGGCUGGAGAGACACCUGCCCCACAGCACAGCAAAAUUAAUGUGAAAGUCAGACUCAAAUGAGUCCCAAUGGUGUCCUCCGAUCUCUGCUGAGAAGCACAUUUCAAAUACAGAAGAAACGGCAACCAGCUGAGACCUAGUGUAUCUUGGAUUGUAACAAUUAAUGGAUAUGAAUGGCCCUCACAGGAGAGCUUGGCUUACCUUUAUAUCAACUUUGGAGAUUAAUUCAGACCACAUGAUAGAAGACUGAAGAAAAUAUGAGCAACAAUUCUAGCAGAGAACCUUCAUAUGAAGAAUCUUCUAUUUUCAGUUACGCAUGCCCAUGAAAUAAAUGAAUAUGAAGGUUUGAGUCCUCCCCACCUUCAAAUUAGCAGAAUUCCCUUUUUAACUUCAACUCCAAAGCCUCAGGAUGUUCAUCUGAAAUCAAACACACUAAAAGUUGCCAGCGUUUACUCAUAGAGAUCAAGAAAUGGAAGCAGAGAAGCCUGAAUGGUUUGCGUCUUAAAAAAAGGAAGUAAACCUCUUCUAAAAAGAAAAAUCAAAAUGUAAGAAGAAAUUCUGGGCCACUUUUUUCCAAAUUGCUUCCAGCAGAACAGCCCUAGUAC